UUCCAGGUGUAGCGGUGAAAUGCGUAGAGAUCUGGAGGAAUACCGAUGGCGAAGGCAGCCAUCUGGCCUAAUACUGACACUGAGGUGCGAAAGCAUGGGGAGCAAACAGGAUUAGAUACCCUGGUAGUCCAUGCCGUAAACGAUGUCUACUAGCCGUUGGGGGAUUUGAUCCUUUAGUGGCGCAGCUAACGCGAUAAGUAGACCGCCUGGGGAGUACGGUCGCAAGACUAAAACUCAAAUGAAUUGACGGGGGCCCGCACAAGCGGUGGAGCAUGUGGUUUAAUUCGAUGCAACGCGAAGAACCUUACCUGGCCUUGACAUAGUAGAGACUUUCCAGAGAUGGAUUGGUGCCUUCGGGAAUCUACAUACAGGUGCUGCAUGGCUGUCGUCAGCUCGUGUCGUGAGAUGUUGGGUUAAGUCCCGCAACGAGCGCAACCCUUUUCCUUACUUGCCAGCAUUUCGGAUGGGAACUUUAAGGAUACUGCCAGUGACAAACUGGAGGAAGGCGGGGACGACGUCAAGUCAUCAUGGCCCUUACGGCCAGGGCUACACACGUGCUACAAUGGUCGGUACAAAGGGUUGCUACACAGCGAUGUGAUGCUAAUCUCAAAAAGCCGAUCGUAGUCCGGAUCGCAGUCUGCAACUCGACUGCGUGAAGUCGGAAUCGCUAGUAAUCGCGGAUCAGAAUGCCGCGGGUGAAUACGUUCCCGGGCCUUGUACACACCGCUCGUCACACCAUGGGAGUUUGUUGCACCAGAGUAGUAGUCUAACCGCAGGAGGACGCUUACCACGGUGUGCCGAUGACUGGGGUGAGUC
Molecule: ribosomal RNA, 816 nt
Filed under: Acinetobacter sp. NF73
Lineage: Bacteria; Pseudomonadati; Pseudomonadota; Gammaproteobacteria; Moraxellales; Moraxellaceae
Description: bacterial SSU rRNA
Rfam family: Bacterial small subunit ribosomal RNA
Source: RNAcentral